AUCAUGAAUAAACAUCUACUUUAGUUUUUGAAUGUGUGAGAUAUAGUCACUAUAGUCUAUGCACGUAUCAAAAUGUAUUUGUCCUUUUACAUAUACCAAAGAACAAAUAAAUUUUGUUAUUUUGAAACAAUUAUUUCUUUUUUACCUAUAAUAUCCUUAAUAAAUUACUCUCAUUUAUCCAUUUCAUCUCUUCAAUAAAUACUUAAGAGUGUUUUUGAUAAAGCAAUAGCAUAUGCUGCAUUGAAAUUUGAUAAUGAUAAGUAAAUAGAAACUUUUCUAUAAAAGCUACAAAUAAUAAGGAAAAGAGGGAGUAGGACAUAGUUAAUUUCUUAGUCCUAGACAUUAUCACUGGGCUUCCUACCUAUUCAUCGAUAAAAUGAGGUCUAAUGGGCCUCAAUCACAUGGUGAUUGAAAAUUGCUCUUUAGCACCUAUGGUUUGCUCACAUGAAUCUCGAUUGAGCUACAAAACUAAAAAAAUAUGAAUUUCAUUGAAAUUUUUGUUUGUGCAGUUUCUUGAUUUGGAUUAAGGUUGUUUAGUUGUUGGUUUAUGCUUGAUUUUUGGUGGUAAUGAAUUGUUUUCUAGAGUUGUAAACUUGUACGUAAUUCUUAACUGCAAUUUGCUAGUUAACUACCAUAACAAACAAUAUGUAAUCAUGGAGGUAUAGUUAACUACCAUUCACGAUAAAUCUUGUAUUUACACACACUUAAAUAUAGGUCUAUUCUUGGGACGACAAUUGACUAUUAUUUAGAAGCAAACAAUAGUUAAUCGUCGUUGGGAUAUUUUCAUCAAUUCGAGGUACCUAUGAUGCCUAAAGAGCAAUUUUCAAUGGGAGUUAACACCAAAUUAGGCGUACAAUUGCCUCGACGCCAAGAGGUUUUCUUUUUUUGGUAGAGCUCGACGCCAAGAGCCGGCGAAGCAAAAGAAUCAAAGACAAACAUCGAGGUAGAUGGCAAAGUACGUUGGUCAGGCGGAAGAGCAACAUGGCGAAGCGGAAGUGGAAAUCAAAACGAGGGUCACAAUUCUAUCAUAAACUAUUCUGACAA
Molecule: RNA transcript, 1044 nt
Organism: Medicago truncatula (barrel medic)
Lineage: Eukaryota; Viridiplantae; Streptophyta; Magnoliopsida; Fabales; Fabaceae
Exons: 2
Source: RefSeq, a predicted model, not a curated record